CAUGUUCCUGCCUUCAUGAUAAUGGACUGAACCUCUGAACCGGUCUUCUGUCUGGUGGCACAGCCCGCUGCCCCAUAGCUCACUGCAAGCUCAUGACUUGGAAGGAAAGAACCAACUCCAGGACAUUGUGGGGUGACCUCCACGUGCGCAGUGACACUUGUAUGCCCAUACACAUUCAUACAUGCCCGCAGAACAAAGAAAGGCAAAGGAAUCAGCGGGGGCAGCAGCACAGGGGCAAAUGAACUUAGAGGCAAGACAGCAGAAGGUGGGAUGGUCUUCCCUCCAUUUUUUAUCUGGACGCUCCGUGAAGAAGCUCUCCCCACAAUGCAUGUGAGUGAGGGACGGGGAGCAGGUCUUCUCACAUCAGUCAAGGCAAGCUCCCAUCUACUCUGUAGCUACUGAGCAGGGGCAGAAUGUGGGGGCUCUGGGAAGAAAAUGGACAAUUAUAGGUACUCAUGAUAAGAAUGUUAUGCUUUCUUGAUGGGUUUUUAUAUUUGGACAUUUUCAGUGAAAAACAUAUGCAGUCUCUGAGGAGCAGAGGCUCAACAUUUCCCUCAUCUACAAAGUGAGCCCAAGACAAGGUGGAAAUGAGGAAAAAUCACAAAGAACAAGAAGAUAGCUAAGUUAGGGAGACGGUUUAUCACUGGACAACUCUCCCAGUCUUACACUUCCCUGGUGCCUGUUCACCUGUAAAAUUUGACAUUUUGAUUGCAAAAGUAAUAUAAACAUAUAAUAAAAUGAUCACUCACUAGAGAAAAGAAAAAUAAAUGAAAAAAUUAUUCCCCUGGGAGAGAUGGCUGAGCGGCUAAGAGCCCUUGCUACUCUUCCAGAUGAGCUGAGUUCUUGACACAUGUCAAGUAACUGACAGCACCUGUAAUUCCAGCUCUGGGAAUUUGACCCUUCUCCUGGCCUCCCAGGCACCUGUCCUAACAUGCUUUUACCCACACGCAGACACGUAAGUAAACAUGAAGAUAAAUCUUCAAAAGAAGGAUUCCUCAUAUGAGUAGCCUCGUGAAGACAGCUCUUGGUGGUUCGUUAGUUACUGGGGGGCGGGGGAUGUUAACAGAACCAGUAUUAUAGAAUACCUAUUAUUCUGCAACUUCCUUUUUUUCUUGAACAUUCUACAAGAAACAUUCUAAAAAUAGAAUAGUUGCUUAGAAGGUGUGGUUAUAUGAUCAUGCUAAUUUUAAUUUUGAUGUGAAGUUACAUAGGAACAUUUACCCAGUACAGAAUUUUGUAUUCAUAUUAUGCUUUUAACCUAAGAACAGAACAAAUGCAGCAGCAGAAACUACUAACUAUCCAAGUAGUGAGAGCCGAAGUUGUGGUUGGGAUCAGCUGGCCAUCAGCACCUCUUGGGGCAGGUGGCAGCUGGGCCACUUGCGGGGGUGGGGUUGGGGGGGACUCUUUAGCAGAGUGACUCAGCAGAGCCAAGCUGACCAAGACCUCAAUCUGUCAGGAAGAUCCUUGUCCUUAGUCAUCCAAUUUCUCUUCUAAGAUGGAGAAAACACUCACAUGUCAGCUCCUCUCUGCUCUGCCAGCUGGAUUUCCCAGGAAUAAGCAAUUUUGUUUGGAGCUAACUUUUGGAGCCAUCAAAGAUAUUUGACCCAAGUUUGAACCCAGGAUCUCCUCAGGCGUCCUACGGACAAGUAUCCUCCAAUGAUUCCAAAAUCCCAUAACCAGAAAUGUUAGCAAAAGAUCUAACAAAGCUGACCUUCAACCAUAGUGCCAUGAAGCUUCCGUCGUCUCCUUGACCAGGAAAGAAAAUCAUCUCCACCACUGGAGGAAGAGUGGGCGGAGAACAGAAGUGAGGACUUAUGAGGGAGGGUCAAAGUGCCUUUCCCAGGAGAAGGGUCCAGACAUUGCUGUUGGUACAGAAUGAUUCUAUAGCAAAGAUAAAUAGAUUAUAUUGAUGGGGGGGAGUCUUCCCGGAAAUCAGUUUGAAGAAAACAUGGACCAUUCAGAUACGUCUGCUCUUUCUACCUGUAUUGUAAUUAGAUCCUUCUGAGAAUUGGACCCUGGAGAGAAAGUAGGGCAGUCGACUUAGGCCUAAGCUGUACACUGUCCUUUGCUGCUGAUAAUGCAAAUGUAAAAGAUGGUUUUUGUGAUGAAACUGUACAGCGGUUAUUUUGAAUAAUCUAUGCGUGUGUUUUGUGAUUUAUUUCAAUUCUUUUGCAAUCAUUUUGAAUAGUCUGUGCACAAGUCCUGUGAUAUGUUUCCAGUCAUCCGCUGCAAUCAUUUGACUAAUGUAUGCCUGAGAUCUGCAGUGCAUUUCCCGUCUCCCAUUUCUCUGAUGCUGGGGUUCGCCUUCCCAACUUGCCCCCAUUGAUCUGUACGGUGUAUGUAAAGCUUGAGUGCACAUGAAUGACUUCAUUAUAGCUUUAUGUUUUAAUUCGACCCAAGGAAGCACGAGUGACUUCCAGGAUUCUAUGAGCUUCAGAAGCCUCGAGUCUGAGAUGAAGUGCAAGAAUGUGAGAGAAUAUAAAUAGAAUCAAAGGGUGAUCUGGCUAGAAGAUAAAUAAUUAGAUAACUGAAUUUCUCUGUUUGUAGGUGUUUGUAAUAAAGGCAAUCUUGUUACCUUAAUUUCCGGUAAUAAGAACACAGAACUGAUUAAAAUGGGGAUGUGUGUGAUCCAAGUGUUUUAGGUUCCUCUUUGCUCAUUUGCAAAUAAACCCUGAGUGGGCUCAUCCACCCCAGUGCAAAUGUAAGCAAAGCCCAGGCAUGAGGAGGGCCCGCUGGCUUCCCUACGUUUUCUUUUCUGUACUUAACGUUACAUGAGAUUUGCUCCUACCUGGUUUACAUCCAGAACGGUUUCUCACAUGAAAACUGACUCUUCUCCCUUGGCCCCAUGAAGCACCACUGUGCUCAGGGCAAACCUGUUGUUUUCUGAUUUUGUAUUUAUUGGCCCUAACAGAUUACUAAAAGCCCAAGGAGGAGGGCGUACGUGUGGUGAGAGGUGAUGGGCUGCCUACUGCAAAACCAAACUCUGGCUUAGGCCUCUUUCCCACACACAAGGCUCCUCUCUCUGAUAGUGUAACCAUCAAGUCCAACAGUAGCAAAUGUAUCCAAAGAUGGGAUUAUGAAUGUUUCUAAGUUAGUUACAGUGACUUGCCAACCCAGAGCGAUGACUGGAUAAUACCAGAUCCAACAGGAAUCCCUAUCACUGCCCUAUCCCUAAUGCUUGGUAUUCAUCCACCCACCCAAUUGUUCAGUUCUUACUACACAGAACUAAGUGCUGAUGUUCCAGACUCUUUGCACACCCUGAAUCCCAGUGAUUUUUUUCAACUCUGGCCUGUGCUCUGAGGACCCUGAGGACAUCCCCAGAGCUAUGCCCUAACUUCCCACCCAAUGGAGAACUACAAACAUGUCCUCAGCACCAAGGUCCUCAGAGCUAUAACCUCCUGGACUUUCUCCUCCUGGGUUUCUUUUUUUUUUCCAAGGGUCUUGGUGCUUCUUCAGACAUGAUGUCAUGACUGUCUUGGUGGUGGGUAACAUGUAGGGGGAGUGGGUAGAUGGUCCUCGUGGUUCCUUGACAAUUUUCAUUCAGAUAUUGCUCCUUUCGGAGCCAGAAGCCUUCCCAGAAAGGCCUAGGUAAGGGUCCCCAGGUUUUCUCAGUGUAGAUUAGCUGCUCUUUCCAUGGUCCUUCUGCGUGAGAGAACCCUGGGCAGCCGGGGUCUCUUGCUCUGUGCCCAGCCCCCACCCUGGCUCUGUCCAAACCAAAGCAAACCCCAUCCAUCUCCUUCUAGUCUCGUUGAGGUGUAUUAUCAGCCAUCCGUUUUAGCUUUACCUAGAACCCCUCACAUCUCAAGAACUAGUUUUUGUAAGUAGAUUAUGCUACAUUUAAAAAACAAACAGACAGAGACAGACACACAAUAACAAAAUGAUUCUCUCUUCACCCCCCAACCCAGCGACAACCAAAGUGUUAUCAGCUUGAAUGGGAAGAAAACUCUCCCUUCUCAUGUCUAGGACUUGUGUAGGACUUACCACACCCCAUCUCCUUGGCUCCCUUCUUUGUGAAAGUUACUUCAUUCACAUGCCAUCCUUACACACGGACAAUAUUGUGCACUCUUGGUACAGAUCAUGAAAUGAACAAUAACCAUAAUGUUUAUAACGAACCACACCUGAACGCCAUACCAGCCAAUUGAAAGGCCAUUGAGCACUCCAAAGAGCCCUUCCUCUACAUCCUGGAUUAGCUUCUUUGUUGAGAGGUGAACUGCCCUCUGUGGGACGUAUACAAGGGUGUAUUGUCAGGAGCAAUGGACAAUGAUGGCACUUUUACCAUAUCCAUAGGCUCAAUUUGGAACCGGCAAGAAAACACUCAUUAAAGGCCCAAACACGACUAAUAUC
RNAcentral lists this small RNA (4344 nucleotides) under Rattus norvegicus (Norway rat). RNAcentral's name for it is "uncharacterized LOC102555576". The record is from RNAcentral. Lineage: Eukaryota; Metazoa; Chordata; Mammalia; Rodentia; Muridae.